AGGUGAGUGAUGGAGGAGUUCUUCAAUGCCCACACACCGUACUGCAUUUUUAUUCACCUACCUCCAGCUUUGACCGUCUUGAUCACUACAUGGCUAUUAUAAAUUUGCACUCGGUCAUGAUCGAUGUUAGUGUUCACCUGUCUUGCCUAGGCUAGGCAGCUACAUUCGAGCGGUUGUGUCGUCGCUUCACAACAUGAAAGGGUUACUCCCUGAAUGCUAGCCAUGUAUGAGCGCACGCCAUUGAUUAACUAGUAUGAGGUAGGAUUGUGAGGUAUCAGAAUUUUGACACAGCAGUAAACGAAAGGAGGUAUCUGCACAAGGGCUUCUAUGUGUACGACUAGUUCAUGCGCAGUUAUAGAGGUGAUAGAUGCUCCAUCCCAAGAGCAAGGAACGGGAAAAAAAGGGAAUCGAGCUAGGGUGAGAUUGCGGAGUUGUGUGGUGAGCGUGUUAAGAAUGUGUCGCGGAUGGAAGAGACGGGCUGGCUCGCUACGGUUUGAAUGAGCUUGUCAUAAUCAACGGUGCUGCUCCACCAGGGAGACCGUUAGGCCUGGAGCACAGUAGGACACUAGUGUUUGCAUGCUCACUUGAGCGCCCCGACCUUCAUGUGAUGAGAUCGUUGUGGUCACGCCCACCUCUCUAUGAAAUUGGGAUUAUAGGUAGUUCUCUCUCUCUCCCUCCCUCCCUCC
This 686-nucleotide long non-coding RNA is filed under the name Hordeum vulgare. RNAcentral describes it as "long non-coding RNA (HVUL_LNC008468)". Lineage: Eukaryota; Viridiplantae; Streptophyta; Magnoliopsida; Poales; Poaceae. The record is from RNAcentral.